This 720-nucleotide ribosomal RNA is filed under the name metal-contaminated soil clone K20-31. RNAcentral's name for it is "bacterial SSU rRNA". It matches the Rfam family "Bacterial small subunit ribosomal RNA", at positions 53 to 786 of the family's 1533-position model. Lineage: Bacteria; Pseudomonadati; Planctomycetota; Planctomycetia; Planctomycetales. The record is from RNAcentral.
GCAUGCAAGUCGAGCGAGAACGUAGCAAUACGGGGACAGCGGCGAAAGGGACAGUAAUGUGUAGAUCAUCUACCCUCAGGUCUGGGAUAGCCGCGGGAAACUGCGGGUAAUACCAGAUGAUGUCUCCGGAUCAAAGGUGUGAUUCCGCCUGAGGAUGAGUCUACAUCCUAUUAGCUAGUUGGUAGGGUAAUGGCCUACCAAGGCAAUGAUGGGUAGCGGGUGUGAGAGCACGACCCGCGUCAUUGGGACUGAGACACUGCCCAGACACCUACGGGUGGCUGCAGUCGAGAAUCUUCGGCAAUGGGCGCAAGCCUGACCGAGCGACGCCGCGUGUGGGAUGAAGGCCUUCGGGUUGUAAACCACUGUCAGAGGGGAUGAAAUGCAGGUGGGUUCUCCCAUCUGUUUGACAUAGCCUCAGAGGAAGGACGGGCUAAGUUCGUGCCAGCAGCCGCGGUAAGACGAACCGUCCGAACGUUAUUCGGAAUCACUGGGCUUAAAGGGUGCGUAGGCGGCGCGGAAAGUUGGGUGUGAAAUCCCUCGGCUCAACCGAGGAACUGCGCCCAAAACUACCGUGCUUGAGGGAGAUAGAGGUGAGCGGAACUUAGGGUGGAGCGGUGAAAUGCGUUGAUAUCCUAAGGAACACCGGUGGCGAAAGCGGCUCACUGGAUCUCUUCUGACGCUGAGGCACGAAAGCUAGGGUAGCGAACGGGAUUAGAUACC